Molecule: ribosomal RNA, 497 nt
Filed under: uncultured bacterium
Lineage: Bacteria
Description: partial 16S ribosomal RNA
Rfam family: Bacterial small subunit ribosomal RNA
Source: RNAcentral
GAUGAACGCUGGCGGCGUGCCUAAUACAUGCAAGUCGAGCGAACAGACGAGGAGCUUGCUCCUCUGACGUUAGCGGCGGACGGGUGAGUAACACGUGGAUAACCUACCUAUAAGACUGGGAUAACUUCGGGAAACCGGAGCUAAUACCGGAUAAUAUAUUGAACCGCAUGGUUCAAUAGUGAAAGACGGUUUUGCUGUCACUUAUAGAUGGAUCCGCGCCGCAUUAGCUAGUUGGUAAGGUAACGGCUUACCAAGGCAACGAUGCGUAGCCGACCUGAGAGGGUGAUCGGCCGCACUGGAACUGAGACACGGUCCAGACUCCUACGGGAGGCAGCAGUAGGGAAUGUUCCGCAAUGGGCGAAAGCCUGACGGAGCAACGCCGCGUGAGUGAUGAAGGUCUUCGGAUCGUAAAACUCUGUUAUUAGGGAAGAACAAAUGUGUAAGUAACUAUGCACGUCUUGACGGUACCUAAUCAGAAAGCCACGGCUAACUACGUG